RNAcentral lists this ribosomal RNA (253 nucleotides) under uncultured bacterium. Its description in RNAcentral is "partial 16S ribosomal RNA". It matches the Rfam family "Bacterial small subunit ribosomal RNA", at positions 524 to 776 of the family's 1533-position model. The record is from RNAcentral.
UACGAGGGGGGCAAGCGUUGUUCGGAAUUAUUGGGCGUAAAGGGCGCGUAGGCGGUGCGGUAAGUCUGUUGUGAAAUCUCCGGGCUCAACUCGGAGUCUGCAUCAGAAACUGCCGUGCUCGAGUGUGGGAGAGGUGAGUGGAAUUCCGGGUGUAGCGGUGGAAUGCGUAGAGAUCCGGAAGAACACCAGUGGCGAAGGCGGCCCGCUGGGCAGUGGCUGACGCUGAGGCGCGACAGCGUGGGGAGCAAACAGG